RNAcentral lists this ribosomal RNA (502 nucleotides) under uncultured bacterium. Its description in RNAcentral is "partial 16S ribosomal RNA". It matches the Rfam family "Bacterial small subunit ribosomal RNA", at positions 30 to 523 of the family's 1533-position model. The record is from RNAcentral.
AUUGAACGCUGGCGGCAGGCUUAACACAUGCAAGUCGAGCGGGGUGAUGGUGCUUGCACUAUCACUUAGCGGCGGACGGGUGAGUAAUGCUUAGGAAUCUGCCUAUUAGUGGGGGACAACAUCUCGAAAGGGAUGCUAAUACCGCAUACGUCCUACGGGAGAAAGCAGGGGAUCCCUUGUGACCUUGCGCUAAUAGAUGAGCCUAAGUCGGAUUAGCUAGUUGGUGGGGUAAAGGCCUACCAAGGCGACGAUCCGUAGCGGGUCUGAGAGGAUGAUCCGCCACACUGGGACUGAGACACGGCCCAGACUCCUACGGGAGGCAGCAGUGGGGAAUAUUGGACAAUGGGGGGAACCCUGAUCAGCCAUGCCGCGUGUGUGAAGAAGGCCUUAUGGUUGUAAAGCACUUUAAGCGAGGAGGAGGCUCUUUUGGUUAAUACCCAAGAUGAGUGGACGUUACUCGCAGAAUAAGCACCGGCUAACUCUGUGCCAGCCGCCGCGGUAA